Aegilops tauschii subsp. strangulata is the source of this 247-nucleotide long non-coding RNA. RefSeq lists it as uncharacterized. NCBI's taxonomy places the organism in Eukaryota, Viridiplantae, Streptophyta, Magnoliopsida, Poales, Poaceae. The record is from RefSeq and is a predicted model, not a curated record.
GAGGUAACGAUCAUUCCAUUUUGCGUAUGGGUAAUGCAAAAAGCAAAGCCGGUGAACAUCAACAAGAAGAGGACGUAGCUACAGGUCAGGCGAGUGGUAAAAAUGUUGAAGAAUACAGUGCAACCUUUGAUACUGAAAAAGAUGAAGCUAUUUGCGCAACAGAACCCGCCCCUACGAGCGAGACAAAUCUGAAAGAAUAUAAUCCAAGCAUCUUAACCGUAGCUGCAAAUCUUGACCCAAUUUACAC